GGCUGGUCCGAGUGCAGGGAGGUGUACAACUAAUUGAUUAUAACCAACAAAGAUAAAGAACAAAGAAGUUCUUUCUCCACUCCCACUGUUCUACUUGACUAGACUUAA
Molecule: Y RNA, 108 nt
Organism: Pongo abelii (Sumatran orangutan)
Lineage: Eukaryota; Metazoa; Chordata; Mammalia; Primates; Hominidae
Rfam family: Y RNA
About the family: Y RNAs are components of the Ro ribonucleoprotein particle (Ro RNP), in association with Ro60 and La proteins. The Y RNAs and Ro60 and La proteins are well conserved, but the function of the Ro RNP is not known.
Source: Ensembl